UGAUGCGCGCUAUCUGCAGUCGAGCGGACAGAAGGGAGCUUGCUCCCGGAUGUUAGCGGCGGACGGGUGAGUAACACGUGGGUAACCUGCCUGUAAGACUGGGAUAACUCCGGGAAACCGGAGCUAAUACCGGAUAGUUCCUUGAACCGCAUGGUUCAAGGAUGAAAGACGGUUUCGGCUGUCACUUACAGAUGGACCCGCGGCGCAUUAGCUAGUUGGUGAGGUAACGGCUCACCAAGGCGACGAUGCGUAGCCGACCUGAGAGGGUGAUCGGCCACACUGGGACUGAGACACGGCCCAGACUCCUACGGGAGGCAGCAGUAGGGAAUCUUCCGCAAUGGACGAAAGUCUGACGGAGCAACGCCGCGUGAGUGAUGAAGGUUUUCGGAUCGUAAAGCUCUGUUGUUAGGGAAGAACAAGUGCAAGAGUAACUGCUUGCACCUUGACGGUACCUAACCAGAAAGCCACGGCUAACUACGUGCCAGCAGCCGCGGUAAUACGUAGGUGGCAAGCGUUGUCCGGAAUUAUUGGGCGUAAAGGGCUCGCAGGCGGUUUCUUAAGUCUGAUGUGAAAGCCCCCGGCUCAACCGGGGAGGGUCAUUGGAAACUGGGAAACUUGAGUGCAGAAGAGGAGAGUGGAAUUCCACGUGUAGCGGUGAAAUGCGUAGAGAUGUGGAGGAACACCAGUGGCGAAAGGCGACUCUCUGGUCUGUAACUGACGCUGAGGAGCGAAAGCGUGGGGAGCGAACAGGAUUAGAUACCCUGGUAGUCCACGCCGUAAACGAUGAGUGCUAAGUGUUAUGGGGUUUCCGCCCCUUAGUGCUGCAGCUAACGCAUUAAGCACUCCGCCUGGGGAGUACGGUCGCAAGACUGAAACUCAAAGGAAUUGACGGGGGCCCGCACAAGCGGUGGAGCAUGGUGGUUUAAUUCGAAGCAACGCGAAGAACCUUACCAAGGUCUUGAACAU
Molecule: ribosomal RNA, 966 nt
Filed under: uncultured prokaryote
Description: bacterial SSU rRNA
Rfam family: Bacterial small subunit ribosomal RNA
Source: RNAcentral